RNAcentral lists this ribosomal RNA (375 nucleotides) under uncultured Dothideomycetes. RNAcentral's name for it is "eukaryotic LSU rRNA". The stretch from base 1 to 124 matches the Rfam family "5.8S ribosomal RNA", at positions 31 to 154 of the family's 154-position model. Lineage: Eukaryota; Fungi; Ascomycota; Dothideomycetes. The record is from RNAcentral.
CAUCGAUGAAGAACGCAGCGAAAUGCGAUAAGUAGUGUGAAUUGCAGAAUUCAGUGAAUCAUCGAAUCUUUGAACGCACAUUGCGCCCCUUGGUAUUCCAUGGGGCAUGCCUGUUCGAGCGUCAUCUAAGCCCUCAAGCCCUAUGGGUGUUGUUCCGCCUUGUGCGCGACCUUCGCCUGGCUCGGUGUUGGGUGCCUGUCCCUGCUCUCCGCGCGGACUCACCCCAAAUGCAUUGGCAGCAGCCCCUCGGCUUCUCGCGCAGCACAUUGCGCAGCGGAGCGUGAGAGGCGUGCGUCCAGCAAGCAACCCCCCAAGUUUGACCUCGGAUCAGGUAGGGAUACCCGCUGAACUUAAGCAUAUCAAUAAGCGGAGGAA